Molecule: ribosomal RNA, 483 nt
Filed under: uncultured bacterium
Lineage: Bacteria
Description: partial 16S ribosomal RNA
Rfam family: Bacterial small subunit ribosomal RNA
Source: RNAcentral
UUGAACGCUGGCGGCAUGCUUUACACAUGCAAGUCGAACGGCAGCGCGGGCUUCGGCCUGGCGGCGAGUGGCGAACGGGUGAGUAAUACAUCGGAACGUGCCCAGUAGUGGGGGAUAGCUCGGCGAAAGCCGGAUUAAUACCGCAUACGACCUGAGGGUGAAAGCGGGGGAUCUUCGGACCUCGCGCUAUUGGAGCGGCCGAUGGCAGAUUAGCUAGUUGGUGGGGUAAAGGCCUACCAAGGCGACGAUCUGUAGCUGGUCUGAGAGGACGACCAGCCACACUGGGACUGAGGCAUGGCCCAGACUCCUACGGGAGGCAGCAGUGGGGAAUUUUGGACAAUGGGCGAAAGCCUGAUCCAGCAAUGCCGCGUGUGUGAUGAAGGCCUUCGGGUUGUAAAGCACUUUUGGCGGGAACGAAAAGGACUGUGCCAAUACCACGGUUCGAUGACGGUACCCGCAGAAUAAGCACCGGCUAACUACGUG